This 474-nucleotide ribosomal RNA is filed under the name uncultured organism. Its description in RNAcentral is "partial 16S ribosomal RNA". It matches the Rfam family "Bacterial small subunit ribosomal RNA", at positions 334 to 799 of the family's 1533-position model. The record is from RNAcentral.
CACUCCUACGGGAGGCAGCAGUGGGGAAUUUUGGACCAUGGGCGAAAGCCUGAUCCAGCAAUGCCGCGUGAGUGAAGAAGGCCUUCGGGUUGUAAAGCUCUUUUGUCAGGGAAGAAACGGUGAGAGCUAAUAUCUUUUGCUAAUGACGGUACCUGAAGAAUAAGCACCGGCUAACUACGUGCCAGCAGCCGCGGUAAUACGUAGGGUGCAAGCGUUAAUCGGAAUUACUGGGCGUAAAGCGUGCGCAGGCGGUUUUGUAAGUCUGAUGUGAAAUCCCCGGGCUCAACCUGGGAAUUGCAUUGGAGACUGCAAGGCUAGAAUCUGGCAGAGGGGGGUAGAAUUCCACGUGUAGCAGUGAAAUGCGUAGAUAUGUGGAGGAACACCGAUGGCGAAGGCAGCCCCCUGGGUCAAGAUUGACGCUCAUGCACGAAAGCGUGGGGAGCAAACAGGAUUAGAAACCCCAGUAGUCCCAUG